This 604-nucleotide ribosomal RNA is filed under the name uncultured bacterium. RNAcentral's name for it is "bacterial SSU rRNA". It matches the Rfam family "Bacterial small subunit ribosomal RNA", at positions 338 to 951 of the family's 1533-position model. The record is from RNAcentral.
CCUACGGGAGGCAGCAGUUAGGAAUCUUCCGCAAUGGGCGCAAGCCUGACGGAGCGACGCCGCUUGGAGGAGGAAGCCCUUCGGGGUGUAAACUCCUGAACCCGGGACGAAACCCCCGAUGAGGGGACUGACGGUACCGGGGUAAUAGCGCCGGCCAACUCCGUGCCAGCAGCCGCGGUAAUACGGAGGGCGCGAGCGUUACCCGGAUUCACUGGGCGUAAAGGGCGUGUAGGCGGCCUGGGGCGUCCCGAUGUGAAAGGCCACGGCUCAACCGUGGAGGAGCGUGGGAUACGCUCAGGCUAGACGGUGGGAGAGGGUGGUGGAAUUCCCGGAGUAGCGGUGAAAUGCGCAGAUACCGGGAGGAACGCCGAUGGUGAAGGCAGCCACCUGGUCCACCCGUGACGCUGAGGCGCGAAAGCGUGGGGAGCAAACCGGGAUUAGAUACCCGGGGUAGUCCACGCCCUAAACGAUGCGCGCUAGGUCUCUGGGUUGUCUGGGGGUCCGAAGCUAACGCGUUAAGCGCGCCGCCUGGGGAGUACGGCCGCAAGGCUGAAACUCAAGGAAUUGGNGGNGNGAGACGUGCGAGGCGCGACGAGGGGAGAGG